AGUCUUAUAUUCAUGUUUUGUGAUUACAGAAUGCAAUUCUGUGGGGGUAGGUUUAAAGACUACUAAGGCUU
Molecule: transfer RNA, 71 nt
Filed under: Microhodotermes viator
Lineage: Eukaryota; Metazoa; Arthropoda; Insecta; Blattodea; Hodotermitidae
Description: tRNA-Cys
Source: RNAcentral